This 406-nucleotide ribosomal RNA is filed under the name uncultured bacterium. Its description in RNAcentral is "partial 16S ribosomal RNA". It matches the Rfam family "Bacterial small subunit ribosomal RNA", at positions 30 to 526 of the family's 1533-position model. The record is from RNAcentral.
AUUGAACGCUGGCGGCAGGCCUAACACAUGCAAGUCGAACGAGUGGCGGACGGGUGAGUAAUGUCUGGGAACCUGCCUGAUGGAGGGGUAUAACUACUGGAACCGGUAGCUAAUACCGCAUACCAUCAGAUGUGCCCAGAUGGGAUUAGCUAGUUGGUGGGGUAAAGUCUCACCAAUGCGACGAUCCCUAGCUGGUCUGAGAGGAUGACCAGCCACACUGGGAAUGAGACACGGACCAGACUCCUACGGGAGGCAGCAGUGGGGAAUAUUGCACAAUGGGCGCAAGCCUGAUGCAGCCAUGCCGCGUGUAUGAAGAGGGCCUUCGGGUUGUAAAGUACUUUCAGCGGGGAGGCGUUACCCGCAGAAGAAGCACCGGCUAACUCCGUGCCAGCAGCCGCGGUAAUAC